AGCCAAUGAUGACAAACUAAAUAACUUUUCUGACACCUCGUAUGAGAGCUGCAAUGUGGCUCCUGAUUCUAACUCUGAUCUGAGGCUC
Small nucleolar RNA from Dicentrarchus labrax (European seabass), 88 nucleotides. Lineage: Eukaryota; Metazoa; Chordata; Actinopteri; Moronidae. The record is from Ensembl.